AACCUACGGGGGGCAGCAGUGAGGAAUAUUGGUCAAUGGCCGAGAGGCUGAACCAGCCAAGUCGCGUGAGGGAUGACGGCCCUACGGGUUGUAAACCUCUUUUGCCGGGGAGCAAGCGUGCGUUCGUGAACGCACGUCGAGAGUACCCGGAGAAAAAGCAUCGGCUAACUCCGUGCCAGCAGCCGCGGUAAUACGGAGGAUGCGAGCGUUAUCCGGAUUUAUUGGGUUUAAAGGGUGCGUAGGCGGGAUGCCAAGUCAGCGGUAAAAAUGCGGUGCUCAACGC
Molecule: ribosomal RNA, 283 nt
Filed under: uncultured bacterium
Lineage: Bacteria
Description: partial 16S ribosomal RNA
Rfam family: Bacterial small subunit ribosomal RNA
Source: RNAcentral